UUGGCGACCGAUAGUGCACAAGUACCGUGAGGGAAAGGUGAAAAGCACCCCGACAAGGGGAGUGAAAGAGACCUGAAACCGGAUGCCUACAAGCAGUCGGAGCCCGCAAGGGUGACGGCGUACCUUUUGUAUAAUGGGUCCGCGAGUUCGUGUUGGCAGCAAGCUUAAGCCGAGAGGUGUAGGCGCAGCGAAAGCGAGUCUGAAUAGGGCGCAUAGUUGCCGGCAUGAGACCCGAAACCUGGUGAUCUAGCCAUGGACAGGUUGAAGGUGGGGUAACACCCACUGGAGGACCGAACCCACGCCUGUUGAAAAAGUCGGGGAUGAUCUGUGGUUAGGGGUGAAAGGCCAAAUCAAAACCAGGAAAUAGCUGGUUCUCCGCGAAAUCUAUUGAGGUAGAUCGUCCGUCGAUCACCAUCGGAGGUAGAGCACCGGAAGGGCUAGGGGGGCCAAAGCCUACCAAACCUACCGAACUCCGAAUGCCGAUGAGUGCAGGCGGGCAGACAGACAGUGGGUGCUAAGGUCCAUUGUCGAGA
RNAcentral lists this ribosomal RNA (533 nucleotides) under uncultured bacterium. RNAcentral describes it as "bacterial LSU rRNA". It matches the Rfam family "Bacterial large subunit ribosomal RNA", at positions 477 to 1016 of the family's 2925-position model. The record is from RNAcentral.